UGGGGAAUAUUGGGCAAUGGACGCAAGUCUGACCCAGCAACGCCGCGUGAAGGAAGAAGGCUUUCGGGUUGUAAACUUCUUUUAAGGGGGAAGAGUAGAAGACGGUACCCCUUGAAUAAGCCACGGCUAACUACGUGCCAGCAGCCGCGGUAAUACGUAGGUGGCAAGCGUUGUCCGGAUUUACUGGGUGUAAAGGGCGUGCAGCCGGGCAGACAAGUCAGAUGUGAAAUCCUGAGGCUCAACCUCAGGACUGCAUUUGAAACUGUAUGUCUUGAGUAUCGGAGAGGUAAUCGGAAUUCCUAGUGUAGCGGUGAAAUGCGUAGAUAUUAGGAAGAACACCAGUGGCGAAGGCGGAUUACUGGACGACAACUGACGGUGAGGCGC
This 384-nucleotide ribosomal RNA is filed under the name uncultured bacterium. RNAcentral describes it as "bacterial SSU rRNA". It matches the Rfam family "Bacterial small subunit ribosomal RNA", at positions 355 to 754 of the family's 1533-position model. The record is from RNAcentral.